GCCCCUGUGAGAAUGCCCCACAGUUCCCUGUUUGGGAACAAGGAGCUGGUAUCAGGCACAACACCCCACAGCCCAUGACACCUUGCUUAGCCACACCCUCAAGGGAACUCAGCAGUGAUAAACAUUAAGCCAUAAGUGAAAACUUGACUUAGUUAAAGCUAAGAGAGUCGGUAAAACUCGUGCCAGCCACCGCGGUUAUACGAGAGACCCGAGUUGAUAGUCACCGGCGUAAAGAGUGGUUAAGACUACACUUAGCACUAAAGCCGAACGCCCUCAGAGCUGUUAUACGCAUCCGAAGGUAAGAAGCCCAACCACGAAAGUGGCUUUAUAACAUCUGAAUCCACGAAAGCUAUGACACAAACUGGGAUUAGAUACCCCACUAUGCCUAGCCAUAAACAUUGAUAGUAACCUACACCCACUAUCCGCCCGGGAACUACGAGCAUCAGCUUAAAACCCAAAGGACUUGGCGGUGCUUUAGAUCCACCUAGAGGAGCCUGUUCUAGAACCGAUUACCCCCGUUCAACCUCACCUUUCCUUGUCCCUCCCGCCUAUAUACCACCGUCGUCAGCUUACCCUGUGAAGGACUCAUAGUAAGCAAGAUUGGCAUAGCCCAAAACGUCAGGUCGAGGUGUAGCGUAUGGAAAGGGAAGAAAUGGGCUACAUUCCCUAACACAGGGAACUACGAAUGAUACGCUGAAAUACGUAUCUGAAGGAGGAUUUAGCAGUAAGCAGAAAAAAGAGCGUUCCGCUGAAACCGGCCCUGAAGCGCGCACACACCGCCCGUCACUCUCCCCGAGCUCAUCAACCUUAAAUACCUAAAACCUAAAUACUGCAAAGGGGAGGCAAGUCGUAACAUGGUAAGUGUACCGGAAGGUGCACUUGGAAAAAU
Molecule: non-coding RNA, 889 nt
Filed under: Caesio teres (yellow and blueback fusilier)
Lineage: Eukaryota; Metazoa; Chordata; Actinopteri; Lutjaniformes; Lutjanidae
Description: partial 12S rRNA
Rfam family: Bacterial small subunit ribosomal RNA
Source: RNAcentral